ACGGCCGCAAGGUUAAAACUCAAAUGAAUUGACGGGGGCCCGCACAAGCGGUGGAGCAUGUGGUUUAAUUCGAUGCAACGCGAAGAACCUUACCUGGUCUUGACAUCCACGGAAGUUUUCAGAGAUGAGAAUGUGCCUUCGGGAACCGUGAGACAGGUGCUGCAUGGCUGUCGUCAGCUCGUGUUGUGAAAUGUUGGGUUAAGUCCCGCAACGAGCGCAACCCUUAUCCUUUGUUGCCAGCGGUCCGGCCGGGAACUCAAAGGAGACUGCCAGUGAUAAACUGGAGGAAGGUGGGGAUGACGUCAAGUCAUCAUGGCCCUUACGACCAGGGCUACACACGUGCUACAAUGGCGCAUACAAAGAGAAGCGACCUCGCGAGAGCAAGCGGACCUCAUAAAGUGCGUCGUAGUCCGGAUUGGAGUCUGCAACUCGACUCCAUGAAGUCGGAAUCGCUAGUAAUCGUGGAUCAGAAUGCCACGGUGAAUACGUUCCCGGGCCUUGUACACACCGCCCGUCACACCAUGGGAGUGGGUUGCAAAAGAAGUAGGUAGCUUAACCUUCGGGAGGGCGCUUACCACUUUGUGAUUCAUGA
This 592-nucleotide ribosomal RNA is filed under the name Escherichia coli. RNAcentral's name for it is "bacterial SSU rRNA". It matches the Rfam family "Bacterial small subunit ribosomal RNA", at positions 882 to 1474 of the family's 1533-position model. The record is from RNAcentral. Lineage: Bacteria; Pseudomonadati; Pseudomonadota; Gammaproteobacteria; Enterobacterales; Enterobacteriaceae.